UUGUCGUUGCUUUUCAAUUCCCGCCUUUUCAAUUUCCUUUUUUCUCUUUUAUCGAGCAGUGUGCACUGACCCUCCCUCUCUCUUAUCGAGUAGUGUGCACCCUUCCUCUCUCUUCAUAGAACGUCGUGCAGGGCAAAACAAAAGUGGGGAGUUUCUUCUCUCACAUGUUCAUAGUGAGGAGUUUCUUCCGUGCAGUGUAAUUUCCCUUUGCCUUUUCAAUUUCCUUUUCCCCCUUUGUUUUCUCUGUUCAUAGUGAAACAUUUAGAAUAGUGGGGAGUGCAGUGCAGACACCAAAACAAAAGCGCAGAAAGUUUCUUCCCUCACAUGUUUUCCAAACCAUGGCCUCCGUCACCUACAUAGAGCGUCGUUACAACUACGACAUCUACACCGUCUAUCUCGUCAAAAACUACAUCACUGUCAUCGUCACCGCCAGUGCCUCCGUGGUCAAGCGGUGGAUCUCCUCCAUGCUCUACUUCAACCGCUACUUCGUCGACUAGGAGUGCCUCGUUGUCAGCCUCAAUGUGCAGUGGACUCCCGGCGGCCAUGAUCCUCUGCCGGACAUGCUUCAACUCUGUGUCGGCCGCCGCUUCCUCAUUUUCCAUCUCGCGCACGCAGACUACGUGUCGGAGAGUGGAUCGCCGAACAAACCCACGCCAACCGUCAAUGCCACACAGAAGAGGUUUCUCGCAAGUUCGCUCAGGAGCAAGAGUUCUUUCGCCAAACCGCUCUCAUCUCCAAAAAAGAGAAGGAAAAGGUCUGAAUCGCAUCCUUUCUCUCUGCAUCUUUCCUCUCUCCUAGGCCGUCGAUGAAUGAAGAAAAAAAGAAACCGAGGCCCAAGGUAGACAGUGCAUUGCAUGAUUGACAGCAGGAGUUACUCAGUCAUCAUAGCGAGAAAUCAAACAAAAAGAAGUAGAUUCACAGCAAGAGUGAAAUGUGUAACUUGGCCUCCCUUUCCAUUUUUAAUGAUUCUAUUCUCUUUAUCUUUAUAAAACAGAAUAACUAUAAUGCUUGUUACACUUAUAUCUUAUUUUAACUGCAGUUUUAUCUA
Long non-coding RNA from Glycine soja, 1048 nucleotides. RefSeq lists it as uncharacterized. NCBI's taxonomy places the organism in Eukaryota, Viridiplantae, Streptophyta, Magnoliopsida, Fabales, Fabaceae. The transcript is spliced from 2 exons. The record is from RefSeq and is a predicted model, not a curated record.